UACGGAGGAUGCAAGCGUUAUCCGGAUUCAUUGGGUUUAAAGGGUGUGUAGGCGGGUCAUUAAGUCAGUGGUGAAAUCCUAUAGCUUAACUAUAGAACUGCCAUUGAAACUGACGAUCUUGAAUGCAGUUGAGGUAGGCGGAAUGUGCAGUGUAGCGGUGAAAUGCUUAGAUAUUGCACAGAACACCGAUUGCGAAGGCAGCUUACUAAACUGUGAUUGACGCUGAGACACGAAAGCGUGGGGAU
This 245-nucleotide ribosomal RNA is filed under the name uncultured bacterium. RNAcentral describes it as "partial 16S ribosomal RNA". It matches the Rfam family "Bacterial small subunit ribosomal RNA", at positions 524 to 768 of the family's 1533-position model. The record is from RNAcentral.